GGGGAUUUAGCUCAGCGGUGUAAGCACCUGCCUGGCAAGCACGUGCUUAAGGUUGAGUUUAAUCCCCG
Molecule: transfer RNA, 68 nt
Filed under: Cavia porcellus (domestic guinea pig)
Lineage: Eukaryota; Metazoa; Chordata; Mammalia; Rodentia; Caviidae
Rfam family: tRNA
About the family: Transfer RNA (tRNA) molecules are approximately 80 nucleotides in length. Their secondary structure includes four short double-helical elements and three loops (D, anti-codon, and T loops).
Source: Rfam by way of RNAcentral